CUCGGAUGAAUACCUCAGGGGGUAGAGCACUGGAUGGGCUAGGGGGACUUACCGUCUUACCAAACCCAACCAAACUCCGAAUACCUGAGAGUACUAUCCGGGAGUCACACGGCGGGUGCUAACGUCCGUCGUGGAGAGGGAAACAACCCGGACCUACAGCUAAGGCCCCUAAUUCGUGGCUAAGUGGGAAAGGAUGUGGAAAUCCCAAAACAACCAGGAGGUUGGCUUAGAAGCAGCCAUCCUUUAAAGAAAGCGUAACAGCUCACUGGUCUAAAUAAGGGUUCCUGCGGCGAAGAUGUAACGGGGCUCAAGACACGCACCGAAGCUUAGGGUGUGGAUUUAUCCACGCGGUAGCGGAGCGUUCCGUAGGCCGUUGAAGCGAUCUGGUAAUGGGUCGUGGAGGUAUCGGAAGUGCGAAUGCAGACAUGAGUAGCGAUAAACAGGGUGAGAUGCCCUGUCGCCGAAAGACCAAGGGUUCCUGCGCAAGGCUAAUCCGCGCAGGGUGAGCCGGCCCCUAAGACGAGCCCGAAGGGGGUAGUCGAUGGGAACCACGUUAAUAUUCGUGGGCCUGGAGAUGUGUGACGGAUCGUAGAAGUUGUUCGACCUUAUUGGUUUGGUCGGGCUUCCAAGCGGUUCCAGGAAAUAGCCUCUCCAUAUAGACCGUACCCGAAACCGACACAGGUGGUCAGGUAGAGUAUACCAAGGCGCUUGAGAGAAGUAUCCUGAAGGAACUCGGCAAAUUGCCUCCGUACCUUCGGAAGAAGGAGGCCCCGGCUAUGCGCAAGCACUGUCGGGGGGCACAGGCCAGGGGGUAGCGACUGUUUAGCAAAAACACAGCACUCUGCUAAGUCGGCUUCAAGACGACGUAUAGGGUGUGACGCCUGCCCGGUGCUCGAAGGUUAAGAGGAGGAGUGCAAGCUCCGAAUUGAAGCCCGAGUAAACGGCGGCCGUAACAAUAACGGUCCUAAAGGUAGCGAAAUUCCUUGUCGGGUAAGUUCCGACCUGCACGAAUGGCGUAACGACUUCCCCACUGUCUCCAGGAUAUGCUCAGCGAAAUUGAAUUCUCCGUGAAGAUGCGGAGUACCCGCGGUUAGACGGAAAGACCCCGUGCACCUUUACUGCAGCUUCAGAGUGGCAUUAGGAAAGAAUUGUGUAGCAUAGGUGGGAGGCUUUGAAGCAUGGGCGCCAGCCCGUGUGGAGCCAUAGGUGAAAUACCACCCUGUUGUUUUCUGAUGUCUAACCUCGAACCAUGAAACUGGUUCAGGGACCCUCUGUGGCGGGUAGUUUGACUGGGGCGGUCGCCUCCUAAAGAGUAACGGAGGCGCGCGAAGGUUGGCUCAGGCCGGUUGGAAACCGGCUGUUAGAGUGCAAUGGCAUAAGCCAGCCUGACUGCGAGACUGACAAGUCGAGCAGAGACGAAAGUCGGUCAUAGUGAUCCGGUGGUCCCGCGUGGAAGGGCCAUCGCUCAACGGAUAAAAGGUACGCCGGGGAUAACAGGCUGAUGACCCCCAAGAGUCCAUAUCGACGGGGUUGUUUGGCACCUCGAUGUCGACUCAUCGCAUCCUGGGGCUGGAGCAGGUCCCAAGGGUAUGGCUGUUCGCCAUUUAAAGCGGUACGUGAGUUGGGUUCAGAACGUCGUGAGACAGUUCGGUCCCUAUCUGCCGUGGGUGUAGGAAUAUUGAAAGGAUCUGUCCCUAGUACGAGAGGACCGGGAUGGACGGAUCUCUGGUGGACCUGUUGUGGCGCCAGCCGCAUUGCAGGGUAGCUAUAUCCGGACGGGAUAACCGCUGAAGGCAUCUAAGCGGGAAACCCACCUUGAAACGAGUAUUCCCUGAGAACCGUGGAAGACGACCACGUUGAUAGGCCGGGUGUGGAAGAGCGGCAACGCUUGAAGCUUA
This 1898-nucleotide ribosomal RNA is filed under the name Danio rerio (zebrafish). Its description in RNAcentral is "bacterial LSU rRNA". It matches the Rfam family "Bacterial large subunit ribosomal RNA", at positions 881 to 2894 of the family's 2925-position model. The record is from RNAcentral. Lineage: Eukaryota; Metazoa; Chordata; Actinopteri; Cypriniformes; Danionidae.